RNAcentral lists this non-coding RNA (277 nucleotides) under Carnobacterium inhibens. Its description in RNAcentral is "T-box sequence". It matches the Rfam family "T-box leader". From Rfam's summary of the family: Uncharged tRNA acts as the effector for transcription antitermination of genes in the T-box leader family. T-boxes are found upstream of many aminoacyl-tRNA synthetase genes and some amino acid biosynthetic genes usually in Gram-positive bacteria. Lineage: Bacteria; Bacillati; Bacillota; Bacilli; Lactobacillales; Carnobacteriaceae. The record is from RNAcentral.
UAAAACACUAUGAAAAGAAAAGUAGGUUUAUAUUCGUCUAUAAAAGAGAACCCAGUUAAUUGCUGAAAAUGGGUUAGACAAAUUGAACUGAAGAUGGUCUUUGAGUGGAGUUAGCGAAUCACUUAUUAAAGUGUUAGCUUUCUACGGGAGCACCCGUUACAGUGUCACAGUAUAAAAAGACAACUUAUUGUCUGACGUACUGGAUAAGGUAAGUAUAGCAAUAUACUUAUAAAUUAAGGUGGUAACACGAAGCAGACAACUGACUUUCGUCCUUACA